CUGACAGAAUCCCCAUGGAGGCAGAAGCAUCUGUGAUAUGGAUGUCUCCUCUGCAGUUCACAUGGUAGAAAUUUAAACCCAGUCUCAGGUGGCAGUGUGUUUUGGAGGUUUGGAGGUUACCUCACUCCAGAUGAUUGUUACAGCUCCAUCCAUUUCCCUGCUUUUUUUAAAAUUUUGAGACAUUGUCUUGAGUAUCAAAGAGUGAUCUAUAACUGUGUACCCAAGGAUGACUUUGAACUUCUGAACGUCCUGCCUCCACCUCCUAAAUGUGCUACCAAACCCAUGCAGUGCUGGGAAUAAAAUCUAGGAUUUCACA
Mesocricetus auratus (golden hamster) is the source of this 316-nucleotide long non-coding RNA. RefSeq lists it as uncharacterized. NCBI's taxonomy places the organism in Eukaryota, Metazoa, Chordata, Mammalia, Rodentia, Cricetidae. The record is from RefSeq and is a predicted model, not a curated record. The transcript has 2 exons.